This 72-nucleotide transfer RNA is filed under the name Pseudomonadota bacterium. RNAcentral describes it as "tRNA-Glu". It matches the Rfam family "tRNA". Rfam says of the family: Transfer RNA (tRNA) molecules are approximately 80 nucleotides in length. RNAcentral also lists the same sequence under 3 other names. Lineage: Bacteria; Pseudomonadati; Pseudomonadota. The record is from RNAcentral.
GCCCCUAUCGUCUAGUGGUUAGGACACAGGGUUUUCAUCCCUGCAACGGGGGUUCGAUUCCCCCUAGGGGUA